Molecule: ribosomal RNA, 592 nt
Filed under: Naganishia albida
Lineage: Eukaryota; Fungi; Basidiomycota; Tremellomycetes; Filobasidiales; Filobasidiaceae
Description: eukaryotic LSU rRNA
Rfam family: Eukaryotic large subunit ribosomal RNA
Source: RNAcentral
UAGGGCAUUCCCUAGUACGGCGAGUGAGCGGGAAGAGCUCAAAUUUGAAAUCUGGUAGCCUUCGGUUGCCCGAGUUGUAAUCUAGAGAAGUGUUUUCCGUGCCGGCCCAUGUACAAGUCCCUUGGAACAGGGCGUCAUAGAGGGUGAGAAUCCCGUCCUUGACAUGGACCCCCGGUGCUUUGUGAUACACUUUCAACGAGUCGAGUUGUUUGGGAAUGCAGCUCAAAAUGGGUGGUGAAUUCCAUCUAAAGCUAAAUAUUGGCGAGAGACCGAUAGCGAACAAGUACCGUGAGGGAAAGAUGAAAAGCACUUUGGAAAGAGAGUUAAACAGUACGUGAAAUUGUUGAAAGGGAAACGAUUGAAGUCAGUCAUGCUCUUGGGACUUACCUCCCUUGAGUGGGGUCAACAUCAGUUUUGAUCGAUGGAUAAAGGCACGGGGAAGGUAGCACUCUCGGGUGAACUUAUAGCCUCGCGUCAUAUACAUUGAUUGGGACUGAGGAACGCAGCAUGCCUUAUGGCCGGGAUUCGUCCACGUACAUGCUUAGGAUGUUGACAUAAUGGCUUUAAACGACCCGUCUUGACCCACGGACCA